Molecule: ribosomal RNA, 449 nt
Filed under: uncultured bacterium
Lineage: Bacteria
Description: partial 16S ribosomal RNA
Rfam family: Bacterial small subunit ribosomal RNA
Source: RNAcentral
AAUGAACGCUAGCGGUAGGCCUAACACAUGCAAGUUGAACGCAUACUUUUACAGUAUAAGUAGCAAACGGGUGAGUAACGCGUGAGAAAUCUACCUUACAAUCUGGGAUAAAAUCCCGGAUUCUUUCUAAACUAGAUGUUCCGACAAAUAGUAUAGAAUAAAAGAUUAAAUGUCGUUGUAAGAUGUGCUCGCGUAGGAUUAGGUAGUUGGUGAGGUAAAAGCUACACCAAGCCGAAGAUCCUUAGCUGGUCUGAGAGGAUGAUCAGCCACACUGGGACUGAGACACGGCCCAGACGCUUUCGAGCGGCAGCAGUGAGGAAUUUUGGACAAUGGGCGAAAGCCUGAUCCAGCCAUAUCGCAUGAGUGAAGAAGGCUCAAUGGGUUGUAAAGCUCUGAUUUGAUUGAAGAUUAUGACAUAAGAUCAAAGAAGAGUCCCGGCUAACUUCGUG